UUCGGUGUAAAGGAUAGUAUUAGUAAAAACUUUUCGUCUUGAUGAUCACUGAGAGCAAGGAUAGUAAUACAUUGUGUGUUCUAACACACUAGGAGGAAACAAACAUGGAAAAAGGUAAAGUAAAAUGGUUUAAUGGCGAAAAAGGUUUCGGAUUCAUCGAACGUGAAGGUGGAGAAGACGUAUUCGUUCAUUUCUCAGCUAUCCAAGGCGAAGGGUUCAAAACUUUAGAUGAAGGUCAAGAAGUGACUUUUGAUGUUGAGCAAGGUCAACGUGGAGCACAAGCAGCUAACGUUCGUAAGGCUUAAUUAUAUCGCCAAAUAUGGACAGACUCUUUUUUAGAGUCUGUUUUUU
RNAcentral lists this unclassified non-coding RNA (351 nucleotides) under Neobacillus massiliamazoniensis. Its description in RNAcentral is "Bacillus sp. LF1 cspA". Lineage: Bacteria; Bacillati; Bacillota; Bacilli; Caryophanales; Bacillaceae. The record is from RNAcentral.